RNAcentral lists this ribosomal RNA (381 nucleotides) under uncultured Allobrachymonas sp. RNAcentral describes it as "bacterial SSU rRNA". It matches the Rfam family "Bacterial small subunit ribosomal RNA", at positions 996 to 1382 of the family's 1533-position model. Lineage: Bacteria; Pseudomonadati; Pseudomonadota; Betaproteobacteria; Burkholderiales; Comamonadaceae. The record is from RNAcentral.
UCCCGAAGAGAUUGGGAGUGCUCGAAAGAGAACCUGCACACAGGUGCUGCAUGGCUGUCGUCAGCUCGUGUCGUGAGAUGUUGGGUUAAGUCCCGCAACGAGCGCAACCCUUGCCAUUAGUUGCUACGAAAGGGCACUCUAAUGGGACUGCCGGUGACAAACCGGAGGAAGGUGGGGAUGACGUCAAGUCCUCAUGGCCCUUAUAGGUGGGGCUACACACGUCAUACAAUGGCCGGUACAGAGGGUAGCCAACCCGCGAGGGGGAGCCAAUCCCACAAAGCCGGUCGUAGUCCGGAUCGCAGUCUGCAACUCGACUGCGUGAAGUCGGAAUCGCUAGUAAUCGCGGAUCAGCAUGUCGCGGUGAAUACGUUCCCGGGUCUU